This 73-nucleotide transfer RNA is filed under the name Microcoleus sp. FACHB-672. RNAcentral's name for it is "tRNA-Trp". It matches the Rfam family "tRNA". From Rfam's summary of the family: Transfer RNA (tRNA) molecules are approximately 80 nucleotides in length. Their secondary structure includes four short double-helical elements and three loops (D, anti-codon, and T loops). Lineage: Bacteria; Bacillati; Cyanobacteriota; Cyanophyceae; Oscillatoriales; Microcoleaceae. The record is from RNAcentral.
GUGGGAGUGGUGUAACUGGCAACACGUCGGUCUCCAAAACCGAAGAAUUCGGGUUCAACUCCCGCCUCCCGCG